UUCUUGUGCUUGUUGAGGGCAGAUAAAGUGAAUAUGUGUAUCAACGCCACCAGCGGUAACUAUUUUACCUUCGCCCGCAACCACUUCUGUGGCCGGCCCUACAACAAUAUCCACAUUAGGUUGUACAUCCGGAUUACCCGCUUUACCAAUCCCCACAAUACGACCAUCUUUAAUACCGAUAUCGGCUUUUACGAUCCCCCAAUGGUCUAAAAUAAUGGCGUUAGUGAUAAGUACAUCGACACAUUCAGCAUUAACGACUUGGCUCUGCCCCAUACCAUCGCGAA
Non-coding RNA from Proteus penneri ATCC 35198, 284 nucleotides. The record is from Rfam. NCBI's taxonomy places the organism in Bacteria, Pseudomonadati, Pseudomonadota, Gammaproteobacteria, Enterobacterales, Morganellaceae.